This 611-nucleotide ribosomal RNA is filed under the name Aureobasidium pullulans. RNAcentral describes it as "partial large subunit ribosomal RNA". It matches the Rfam family "Eukaryotic large subunit ribosomal RNA", at positions 77 to 703 of the family's 3401-position model. The record is from RNAcentral. Lineage: Eukaryota; Fungi; Ascomycota; Dothideomycetes; Dothideales; Saccotheciaceae.
GCCCUAGUAACGGCGAGUGAAGCGGCAACAGCUCAAAUUUGAAAGCUAGCCUUCGGGUUCGCAUUGUAAUUUGUAGAGGAUGAUUUGGGGAAGCCGCCUGUCUAAGUUCCUUGGAACAGGACGUCAUAGAGGGUGAGAAUCCCGUAUGUGACAGGAAAUGGCACCCUAUGUAAAUCUCCUUCGACGAGUCGAGUUGUUUGGGAAUGCAGCUCUAAAUGGGAGGUAAAUUUCUUCUAAAGCUAAAUAUUGGCGAGAGACCGAUAGCGCACAAGUAGAGUGAUCGAAAGAUGAAAAGCACUUUGGAAAGAGAGUUAAAAAGCACGUGAAAUUGUUGAAAGGGAAGCGCUUGCAAUCAGACUUGUUUAAACUGUUCGGCCGGUCUUCUGACCGGUUUACUCAGUUUGGACAGGCCAGCAUCAGUUUCGGCGGCCGGAUAAAGGCUCUGGGAAUGUGGCCUCCACUUCGGUGGAGGUGUUAUAGCCCAGGGUGUAAUACGGCCAGCCGGGACUGAGGUCCGCGCUUCGGCUAGGAUGCUGGCGUAAUGGUUGUAAGCGACCCGUCUUGAAACACGGACCAAGGAGUCUAACAUCUAUGCGAGUGUUGGGGGUGGA